RNAcentral lists this ribosomal RNA (497 nucleotides) under uncultured bacterium. Its description in RNAcentral is "partial 16S ribosomal RNA". It matches the Rfam family "Bacterial small subunit ribosomal RNA", at positions 28 to 507 of the family's 1533-position model. The record is from RNAcentral.
GAUGAACGCUGGCGGCGUGCCUAAUACAUGCAAGUCGAGCGAACGGACGAGAAGCUUGCUUCUCUGAUGUUAGCGGCGGACGGGUGAGUAACACGUGGAUAACCUACCUAUAAGACUGGGAUAACUUCGGGAAACCGUAGCUAAUACCGGAUAAUAUUUUGAACCGCAUGGUUCAAAAGUGGAAGACGGUCUUGCUGUCACUUAUAGAUGGAUCCGCGCUGCAUUAGCUAGUUGGUAAGGUAACGGCUUACCAAGGCAACGAUGCAUAGCCGACCUGAGAGGGUGAUCGGCCACACUGGAACUGAGACACGGUCCAGACUCCUACGGGAGGCAGCAGUAGGGAAUCUUCCGCAAUGGGCGGAAGCCUGACGGAGCAACGCCGCGUGAGUGAUGAAGGUCUUCGGAUCGUAAAACUCUGUUAUUAGGGAAGAACAUAUGUGUAAGUAACUGUGCACAUCUUGACGGUACCUAAUCAGAAAGCCACGGCUAACUACGUG